This 468-nucleotide ribosomal RNA is filed under the name uncultured bacterium. RNAcentral describes it as "partial 16S ribosomal RNA". It matches the Rfam family "Bacterial small subunit ribosomal RNA", at positions 28 to 507 of the family's 1533-position model. The record is from RNAcentral.
GACGAACGCUGGCGGCGUGCUUAACACAUGCAAGUCGAACGGAAAGGCCCUGCUUUUGUGGGUUGCUCGAGUGGCGAACGGGUGAGUAACACGUGAGUAACCUGCCCCUGACUUUGGGAUAACUUCAGGAAACUGGGGCUAAUACCGGAUAGGAGCUCCUGCUGCAUGGUGGGGGUUGGAAAGAUUCGGCGGUUGGGGCUGGACUCGCGGCUUAUCAGCUUGUUUGUGGGGUAGUGGCUUACCAAGGCUUUGACGGGUAGCCGGCCUGAGAGGGUUGCCGGCCACCAUGGGACUAAGGUACGGACCAGACUCGUACGGGCGGCAGCAGUGGGGAAUCUUGCACAAUGAGCGGAAGCCUGAGACAGCAGCGCCGCGUGCGGAAUGACGGCCUUCGAGUUGUGAACCGCUUUCGCCUGUGACGAAGCGUGAGUGACGGUAAUGGAUAAAGAAGCACCGGCUAACUACGUG